This 110-nucleotide signal recognition particle RNA is filed under the name Armatimonadota bacterium. Its description in RNAcentral is "Armatimonadetes bacterium (freshwater metagenome) partial signal recognition particle sRNA large type". It matches the Rfam family "Bacterial large signal recognition particle RNA", at positions 1 to 109 of the family's 256-position model. From Rfam's summary of the family: The signal recognition particle (SRP) is a universally conserved ribonucleoprotein involved in the co-translational targeting of proteins to membranes. Archaeal SRP consists of a 7S RNA and homologues of the eukaryotic SRP19 and SRP54 proteins. The record is from RNAcentral. Lineage: Bacteria; Bacillati; Armatimonadota.
CCGUGCUAGAUGGGGAGCUAGCGGUGCCCUGUACCCGCAAUCCGCUUAGCGGGGUCGAAUUCCCACUCGAGGUGGCAUGUUUUGGGGUCUGACCGUCGCGGGCGGCGAUG